RNAcentral lists this ribosomal RNA (426 nucleotides) under uncultured bacterium. RNAcentral's name for it is "bacterial SSU rRNA". It matches the Rfam family "Bacterial small subunit ribosomal RNA", at positions 355 to 774 of the family's 1533-position model. The record is from RNAcentral.
UGGGGAAUCUUGCGCAAUGGGCGAAAGCCUGACGCAGCGACGCCGCGUGAGUGAUGAAGGCCUUCGGGUUGUAAAGCUCUGUGGAGGGGGACGAAUAAGGGUUGGCUAACAUCCAGCUCGAUGACGGUACCCCUUUAGCAAGCACCGGCUAACUCUGUGCCAGCAGCCGCGGUAAGACAGAGGGUGCAAACGUUGUUCGGAAUUACUGGGCGUAAAGCGCGUGUAGGCCGCUUGGAAAGUCGGAUGUGAAAGCCCUGGGCUCAACCUAGGAAGUGCAUUCGAAACUUCCAAGCUGGAGUGCUGGAGAGGAAAGCGGAAUUCUCGGUGUAGAGGUGAAAUUCGUAGAUAUCGAGAGGAACACCGGUGGCGAAGGCGGCUUUCUGGACAGUCACUGACGCUGAGACGCGAAAGCGUGGGGAGCAAACA